RNAcentral lists this long non-coding RNA (639 nucleotides) under Musa acuminata (dwarf banana). RNAcentral describes it as "long non-coding RNA (MACU_LNC000906)". Lineage: Eukaryota; Viridiplantae; Streptophyta; Magnoliopsida; Zingiberales; Musaceae. The record is from RNAcentral.
UAUGGAUUUAAAAGAGUCACAUAGGUAUGUUUACAACACAGCGACUGCUGCUACUGCUAUUCCACCCCAUGCAUAGACAAAGAAGGCCUCGUCUCCGAUAUGUUUCCAUCAAUCACAAAAACCACACACUCAGACGGGGUACAAGCAGCUCCCAUCGUCGCUCCUGGCCGUCGGAUCAAAGUUUGUGGCAAUCGGAUCAGUGCACCCUUCUGGAACUGGGACGCCCACCUGUUGAGCUGCUUUCCCUGCAUACGGGUAGUAAGCUUAACGCAUCAGCUAUGGCCGCAAAGCACCAUAUCUUUUGUACGUAAGAGACAGGAUGACAUAGAGAGUGCGAACCGUAGAACUGUCCCGUGUUAAUGGCGUCCUCAUUGGCGUCUCCCAGCGCGGCCUCGCUCAGGUACUUGUCGGCCAGCUGCACCCUCUUCACGUUCUCUUGCUCCUUCACCAGCAUGUUACCGUACUCCAUUAGCUUGGCGAGGCUCAUCUUGGGCUGGUCGAACGUCGGCGGUCCUUCCAGUGAGUUGACUAACUUCUUGUUCACGCUUUCAACCCCGAUCUCUGCAACCCAUUUCCUCACCUCAUCAUCAUACACCCUGGCUCGGACGGCGCCAAAGAAGUCUGCAUUACAUAAGCAAC